Serinus canaria (Common canary) is the source of this 1794-nucleotide long non-coding RNA. The record is from Ensembl. Lineage: Eukaryota; Metazoa; Chordata; Aves; Passeriformes; Fringillidae.
CAUCAAAUUUUGGGAUUUGGGAUUUUGGGGUAUUGGAAAUUUGGGAUUUGGGCAUUUGGGAUUUGGGAUUUGGGAUUUGGGAUUUGGGAUUGGGAUUUGGGGUUUGGAUUUGGGAUUUGGGAUUUUGGAAUUUGGGAAUUUGGGAUUUGGGGAUUUGGGGUUUGGGGAUUUGGGAUUGGGAUUUGGGGUUUGGAUUUGGGAUUUGGGAUUUGGAGUUUGGGAUUUGGGGAUUUGGGGUUUGGAAUUUAGGAAUUUGGGAUUUGGGAUUGGGAUUUUGGGAUUUGGGGGUUUGGGAUUUGGGGUUUGGGAUUUGGGCAUUUGGGAUUUGGGGAUUUGGGAUUGGGAUUUGGGAUUUGGAAUUUGGGGUUUGGGGUUUGGGAUUUGGGGAUUUGGGAUCUGGGAGUUGGGGUUUGGGAUUGAGGAUUUGGGAUUGUUCCCGAGUGCCAGCCGGGAUUCUGGCCCGGAGACGGCGGGGACUGCCUCGGUGAGGGAGUUGGGAUUGGGGUUUGGGGUUUGGGAUUUGGGAUUUGGGGUUUGGGAGUUGGGAUUGGGGAUUGGGAUUUGGGAUAUGGGAUUGGGAUGUGGGGUUUGGGAUAUGGGAUUUGGGAUUGUUCCCAAGUGCCAGCCAGGAUUCCGGCCUGGGGACAGCAGGGACUGCCUCGGUGAGGGAUUUGGGAUUGGGGUUUGGGAUUUGGGAUCAGGAUGAGGAUAUGGGGUAUGGGGACUGGGAUGGGAAUGUGGAGACUGGGAUGGAGAUAUUGGGACUAUGGGAUAUGGGGAAUGGAGUGGGGAUUUAGGGACUGGGAUGGGACUGGGGGUAUGGGGAGAUGGGAAUAUGGGGAAUGGAGUGGGAUUGGGGAAAUGGGGGUUGGGGAUAUGGGGAUUGGGGAUAUUGGGAUUGGGGAUAUGGGGAUUUGGGAAAUGGGGAUAUGGGGACUGGGAUUGGGACAUUGGGAUUGGGCUGGAAAUGGAGAUAUGGGGAUAUGGGGAGUGGGAUUGGGAUGGGGAGACUGGGAUGGAAAUGGGGACCGGCAUGGGAAUUGGGGCACAGAAUUGGGACUGGCACAGGGAUGGGGAUGGUCUGGGCUUCUGAAUGUCCCCAUCCCAAUGUCCCCAUCCUGCCACGUCCCUGAUUGUCUCCAUGUCCCCAUCCCAAUGUCCCCAUUCUGCCAUGUCCUCAAAUGUCCCCAUGUCCCCAUCCCAAUGUCCCCAUCCUGCCACGUCCCCGAUUGUCCCCAUGUCCCCAUCCCAAUGUCCCCAUCCUGCCACGUCCCCGAUUGUCCCCAUGUCCCCAUCCCAAUGUCCCCAUCCUGCCAUGUCCCCAAAUGUCCCCAUGUCCCCAUCCCAAUGUCCCCAUCCUGCCAUUGUGGCCAUCGUUGUGACCAUCUUCUGCUUCCAGACCAAGGUUGAUUUUACAUCGUGUCCGGGGCUGUUCUGCGUGCUGGGCAUCGUGGUCAUGGUGACCGGGAUCAUCACUGCCAUCGUCCUCUCCUUCAAAUACGUGAGUGGGAAGGAGAGAGGGGCUGUGAGGAGCCCCGGGUAUUCCUGGUUGGCUGUCCCCAGGGCUGGUGCAGGCAGGGGGUUUGGGUGGUCCCUUAGCUGGGAAGCAGGGUGGGGUACCAGCCCUGGAAGGCAGCCUGCCCCCAGGGAGAGGGCGUGACAGCAUCGGCAGCAGCUCCUCAGGAGCUGGGAGCGGGCGGGACGUGCCCUGCCUCACCUGCUGCCUGCCAGCAGCCCAGCUUACCCUGCUGUGUUCCCUUCCCGUGCAGGUGCCCUGGCUCCACAUGCUGUACG